UACGUAGGGGGCGAGCGUUACCCGGAAUCACUGGGCGUAAAGGGUGCGUAGGCGGCCGCGUGUGUCUGGCGUAAAAUACCACGGCUCAACCGUGGGAAUGCGCUGGAAACUACGUGGCUUGGGUGCGGCAGAGGCAGACGGAACUGCUGGUGUAGGGGUGAAAUCCGUAGAUAUCAGCAGGAACGCCGGUGGAGAAGUCGGUCUGCUGGGCCGUUCCUGACGCUGAGGCCCGAAAGCUAGGGGAGCAAACCGG
Molecule: ribosomal RNA, 253 nt
Filed under: uncultured microorganism
Description: partial 16S ribosomal RNA
Rfam family: Bacterial small subunit ribosomal RNA
Source: RNAcentral